This 436-nucleotide ribosomal RNA is filed under the name uncultured Coriobacteriaceae bacterium. Its description in RNAcentral is "partial 16S ribosomal RNA". It matches the Rfam family "Bacterial small subunit ribosomal RNA", at positions 341 to 792 of the family's 1533-position model. Lineage: Bacteria; Bacillati; Actinomycetota; Coriobacteriia; Coriobacteriales; Coriobacteriaceae. The record is from RNAcentral.
ACGGAAGGCAGCAGUGGGGAAUAUUGCGCAAUGGAGGCAACUCUGACGCAGCAACGCCGUGUGCAGGAUGACGGCCUUCGGGUUGUAAACUGCUUUCAGUAGGGAAGAAGUAAUUGACGGUACCUACACAAGAAGCUCCGGCUAACUACGUGCCAGCAGCCGCGGUAACACGUAGGGAGCAAGCGUUAUCCGGAUUCAUUGGGCGUAAAGCGCGCGCAGGCGGAUUUUUAAGCGGAACUGUUAACCCGAGGGCUCAACCCCCGGUAGUGUUCCAAACUGGAAAUCUUGAGUGCGGUAGGGGCGAGAGGAAUUCCAUGUGUAGCGGUGAAAUGCGCAGAUAUAUGGAAGAACACCUAUGGCGAAGGCAGCCUGCUGGGCCGACACUGACGCUCAGGUGCGAAAGCUAGGGGAGCAAACAGGAUUAGAUACCCUGGUA